UACGUAGGUGGCAAGCGUUGUCCGGAUUUACUGGGCGUAAAGAGCGCGCAGGCGGUCGUUCAAGUCGCGUGUGAAAGCCCCCGGCUCAACUGGGGAGGGUCACGCGAUACUGAUCGACUCGAAGGCAGGAGAGGGAAGUGGAAUUCCCGGUGUAGUGGUGAAAUGCGUAGAUAUCGGGAGGAACGCCCGUGGCGAAAGCGAGAUCCUGGACGCCUACUGACGCUGAGACGCGAAAGCCAGGGGAGCGAACGGG
RNAcentral lists this ribosomal RNA (253 nucleotides) under uncultured bacterium. RNAcentral's name for it is "partial 16S ribosomal RNA". It matches the Rfam family "Bacterial small subunit ribosomal RNA", at positions 524 to 776 of the family's 1533-position model. The record is from RNAcentral.